This 71-nucleotide transfer RNA is filed under the name Loxodonta africana (African savanna elephant). It matches the Rfam family "tRNA". From Rfam's summary of the family: Transfer RNA (tRNA) molecules are approximately 80 nucleotides in length. Their secondary structure includes four short double-helical elements and three loops (D, anti-codon, and T loops). The record is from Rfam by way of RNAcentral. Lineage: Eukaryota; Metazoa; Chordata; Mammalia; Proboscidea; Elephantidae.
GCAUUGGUGCCUCAGUGGUAGAAUUCUCACCUUCUACGUGGGAGACCAGGGUUGGAUUCCUGGCCAGUGCA